CCUACGGGUGGCAGCAGUGGGGAAUAUUGCACAAUGGGGGAAACCCUGAUGCAGCGACGCCGCGUGAGUGAAGAAGUAUUUCGGUACGUAAAGCUCUAUCAGCAGGGAAGAAAAUGACGGUACCUGACUAAGAAGCCCCGGCUAACUACGUGCCAGCAGCCGCGGUAAUACGUAGGGGGCAAGCAGUAUCCGGGUUUACUGGGUGGAAAGGGAGCGUAGACGGCAGCGCAAGUCUGGAGUGAAAUCGCAUGGCUUAACCAUGGAACUGCUUUGGAAACUGUGCAGCGGGAGGGAAGGAGAGGUAAGCGGAAGUCCUAGUGUCGCGGUGAAAUGCGUAGAUAUUAGGAGGACCACCAGUGGCGAAGGCGGCUUACUGGACUGUAACUGACGUUGAGGCUCGAAAGCGUGGGGAGCAAACAGGAUUAGAGACCCGUGUAGUC
This 440-nucleotide ribosomal RNA is filed under the name uncultured bacterium. Its description in RNAcentral is "partial 16S ribosomal RNA". It matches the Rfam family "Bacterial small subunit ribosomal RNA", at positions 338 to 795 of the family's 1533-position model. The record is from RNAcentral.